UACAGGGGGUGCAAACGUUGCUCGGAAUCAUUGGGCGUAAAGCGCACGUAGGCGGUUCGUUAUGUCGGAUGUGAAAGCCCUUGGCUUAACCGAGGAAGUGCAUCCGAAACUGGCGAGCUAGAGUACGAAAGAGGAUCGCGGAAUUCCCGGUGUAGAGGUGAAAUUCGUAGAUAUUGGGAAGAACACCGGUGGCGAAGGCGGCGACCUGGUCCUUUACUGACGCUGAGGCGCGAAAGCGUGGGGAGCAAACAGG
RNAcentral lists this ribosomal RNA (253 nucleotides) under uncultured bacterium. Its description in RNAcentral is "partial 16S ribosomal RNA". It matches the Rfam family "Bacterial small subunit ribosomal RNA", at positions 524 to 776 of the family's 1533-position model. The record is from RNAcentral.